GACGAACGCUGGCGGCGUGCUUAACACAUGCAAGUCGAACGUGAUUUUUGUGGAAAUUCUUUCGGGAAUGGAAAUGAAAUGAAAGUGGCGAACGGGUGAGUAACACGUGAGCAACCUACCUUACACAGGGGGAUAGCCGUUGGAAACGACGAUUAAUACCGCAUGAGACCACAGAAUCGCAUGAUAUAGGGGUCAAAGAUUUAUCGGUGUAAGAAGGGCUCGCGUCUGAUUAGCUAGUUGGAAGGGUAAAGGCCUACCAAGGCGACGAUCAGUAGCCGGUCUGAGAGGAUGAACGGCCACAUUGGAACUGAGACACGGUCCAAACUCCUACGGGAGGCAGCAGUGGGGAAUAUUGCACAAUGGGGGGAACCCUGAUGCAGCGACGCCGCGUGAGCGAAGAAGGUUUUCGAAUCGUAAAGCUCUGUCCUAUGAGAAGAUAAUGACGGUAUCAUAGGAGGAAACCCCGGCGAAAUACGU
RNAcentral lists this ribosomal RNA (477 nucleotides) under uncultured bacterium. RNAcentral describes it as "partial 16S ribosomal RNA". It matches the Rfam family "Bacterial small subunit ribosomal RNA", at positions 28 to 506 of the family's 1533-position model. The record is from RNAcentral.